RNAcentral lists this long non-coding RNA (1185 nucleotides) under Marmota monax (woodchuck). The record is from RNAcentral. Lineage: Eukaryota; Metazoa; Chordata; Mammalia; Rodentia; Sciuridae.
CAGCAGAUAAAAAACCCAAGCCAGCCAAUUAUGCUGGACUUUAGUGACUAAGACUACAUUUACCUUUAUGGAUAAUUAUUGGAAAGAGUAUUAAAAUAGAUUUUUCCAAGGGUAUUUGUAUUACUGACAGACCUAAUUAACUCCUUAAAUAUGAGAGUGAAGAGAAAAAAUGAUAAAUAUCCUGUAGCCUAUAAGAAUGCAACUUAUUGCCUCAUUAAUUAUUGCCAGCUAAUAUUUCAGAACUAUAAUAUGCUGACGUUAAUAUUCAGGCUUUGAAACAGGUGUAUGGCUAGUAACCAGACCCAGACAAACUGCUGGUCUCAUAAUCCCUAAAGUGACUACUUUAAAUAUUAUUCCUUGCUUAUUCAAUUUUGGACUUUGUGUCUAUGUCUCAAAACUUACAAAGUAUGGAUUUUCUUAAUGUUUGUCUUAAAUUACAUCCAACUUCCUUCAUGGUCAGAUAAGUGCUGAUGGAAGGAUGAGAACUAAGUAAUGAUGUUCUAGAAGACAAUGUAAUGAAUAAUGUGAGUGAGCCCUUUGCUCUAUGGUUUAUGGAAAGGCCUCAAUGCCAUGACAAUGAAAAUGUCUGUUACUAUGGCCAAAAACAAUGCGUCCCAAUAAAAUUGGGAAAAGAUUAAAAAUCUUCUGAUGAGUGUUUGGCAAGGUAAUAACAAUCCAGAUUAUUGUGUUGACUGUUAUGAAGAUAAUAUGUUUUCUACUAAUUCUUUUUGUGUUUCAAUAGCAGAUUGUGAUGACCUUAGACCAAGAGCCAAGUGACUGAACGAAAAUUUCCCAGUUACAUUCUUUUUUUAAUAUUAAGAAAGGGGGAAUAUGUGGGAGGCCAACCUUACAGGUGACUGAGUUACACUCCCCAGCUGGGUGCUGAGGCGCUCAGUCACAGAAAUGGGUGUGUCUUGCUACAGCCCCAUGGGUGAAGCUAUGCUCACCUGUUCCUUUGUAAUAUAACCCCUUGCCCUGUUUAGGAUAGAAUCUUCCAUGGAAGUGCCUUGUGUGUGUCCCCUCCUCUUACUGUGCCCUGGGAUGUGGCCUACCCAGGUGUCAGUCAACCUGCUAACAGUGGACAUCACGAAGAUAGACUCAGCCCCCUGAAACCUGACCGCUUGCCUCAUUUGAAUAGCUUCUCCUCAAUAAAAGGGGUCAGCACGUGAUCUCUCUCUCUCUCUC